RNAcentral lists this ribosomal RNA (496 nucleotides) under uncultured bacterium. Its description in RNAcentral is "bacterial SSU rRNA". It matches the Rfam family "Bacterial small subunit ribosomal RNA", at positions 28 to 513 of the family's 1533-position model. The record is from RNAcentral.
GAUGAACACUAGCGGCAGGCUUAAUACAUGCAAGUCGUGGGGCAGCAGGUUUGUAGCAAUACAGAUGCUGGCGACCGGCAAACGGGUGCGGAACACGUACAGAACCUUCCUUUGAGCGGGGAAUAGCCCAGAGAAAUUUGGAUUAAUACCCCAUAGUAUAAUGAAGUGGCAUCACUUUAUUAUUAAAGAUUUAUCAUUCGAAGAUGGCUGUGCGGCUGAUUAGGUAGUUGGCGGGGUAAAGGCCCACCAAGCCUGCGAUCAGUAACUGGUGUGAGAGCACGACCAGUCACACGGGGCACUGAGACACGGGCCCGACUCCUACGGGAGGCAGCAGUAAGGAAUAUUGGUCAAUGGAGGCGAACUCUGAACCAGCCAUGCCGCGUGGAGGAUGAAGGUCCUCUGGAUUGUAAACUUCUUUUAUAUGGGACGAAAAAAGGCUUUUCUAAGUCGUCUGACGGUACCAUAUGAAUAAGCACCGGCUAACUCCGUGCCAGCA